UGGUUGAGCGAAAUAUUGAAGCUAUUUAGGUUGUAAGUUCGAAUCUUAUCACGAGCA
RNAcentral lists this transfer RNA (57 nucleotides) under Metarhizium album ARSEF 1941. It matches the Rfam family "tRNA", at positions 16 to 71 of the family's 71-position model. From Rfam's summary of the family: Transfer RNA (tRNA) molecules are approximately 80 nucleotides in length. The record is from Rfam by way of RNAcentral. Lineage: Eukaryota; Fungi; Ascomycota; Sordariomycetes; Hypocreales; Clavicipitaceae.